This 465-nucleotide ribosomal RNA is filed under the name Vreelandella stevensii. Its description in RNAcentral is "partial 16S ribosomal RNA". It matches the Rfam family "Bacterial small subunit ribosomal RNA", at positions 338 to 795 of the family's 1533-position model. The record is from RNAcentral. Lineage: Bacteria; Pseudomonadati; Pseudomonadota; Gammaproteobacteria; Oceanospirillales; Halomonadaceae.
CCUACGGGAGGCUGCAGUGGGGAAUAUUGGACAAUGGGGGCAACCCUGAUCCAGCCAUGCCGCGUGUGUGAAGAAGGCCCUCGGGUUGUAAAGCACUUUCAGUGAGGAAGAACGCCUGGUGGUUAAUACCCAUCAGGAAAGACAUCACUCACAGAAGAAGCACCGGCUAACUCCGUGCCAGCAGCCGCGGUAAUACGGAGGGUGCGAGCGUUAAUCGGAAUUACUGGGCGUAAAGCGCGCGUAGGUGGCUUGAUAAGCCGGUUGUGAAAGCCCCGGGCUCAACCUGGGAACGGCAUCCGGAACUGUCAAGCUAGAGUGCAGGAGAGGAAGGUAGAAUUCCCGGUGUAGCGGUGAAAUGCGUAGAGAUCGGGAGGAAUACCAGUGGCGAAGGCGGCCUUCUAGACUGACACUGACACUGAGGUGCGAAAGCGUGGGUAGCAAACAGGAUUAGAUACCCUAGUAGUC